This 292-nucleotide ribosomal RNA is filed under the name uncultured Verrucomicrobiota bacterium. RNAcentral describes it as "uncultured Verrucomicrobia bacterium partial 16S ribosomal RNA". The record is from RNAcentral. Lineage: Bacteria; Pseudomonadati; Verrucomicrobiota.
GGACUACCCGGGUAUCUAAUCCCGUUUGCUCCCCUGGCUUUCGUGCCUCAGCGUCAGGAAAUGUCCAGAGACUCGCCUUCGCCACUGGUGUUCCGCUCGAUAUCUACGCAUUUCACUGCUACACCGAGCAUUCCAGUCUCCCCUCCAUUCCUCGAGCCAGAUAGUAUUCAAUGCAGUUCCGAAGUUAGGCUUCGGGAUUUCACAUCAAACUUACCUGACCGCCUACGCACCCUUUACGCCCAGUGAAUCCGAACAACGCUCGGGACCUCUGUAUUACCGCGGCUGCUGGCAC